ACUGAACUGAACUGAACCCUAAACCCUAAAAACUAAACCCUAAACUCUAAAACCUAAACCCUAAACCCUAAACUCAAUCUAAACCCUAAACCCAACCUAAACCUAAACCCUAGUUGUGAAUUGUUACGAUUGUGAAUUCACAACUGAACUGAACUGAAACACUAAACCUUAAACCUAAACCCUAGUUGUGAAUUCACAACUGAACUGAACUGAAACUGAAACUGAACUGAACCCUAAACCCUAAAAACUAAACCCUAAACCCUAAACCCUAAACCCUAAACCCAAUCUAAACCCUAAACCCUAAACAGUCGAAUUCACAACAAGAAUUUUUUGGUUGUGUAUUUACAACCAAAAUUUAAUACAUAGCAAGAAUUUUUUGGUUGGGAACUCACAACCAGUAAAAUUCACAAUCAGAAUUUAAUUCACAACUAUAAUUUAUUUUGGUUGUGAAUUCAAGUAGUUGUGAAUUUGAGUUUUUAAAGUUUGAAUUCACAAUUAAAACUGUAAUUUAUUUUGAUUGUGAAUUUAUAGAUUUGGUUGUAAAUUCAAGAAUAUUAAGUUGUGAAUUCAUCGAACAUUAAGUUGUGAAUUCAACAACAUAGUUGUGAAUUUAAGAACAUUAAUAAAAUAAUUAUACGGCUAAAUCAAAUUGAUGUACAACACCAAAAUACAACAACUCAAUCUACCAUCAAAAUACAUNUUGAAUUCACAAUUAAAACUGUAAUUUACAACUGAAACAUUAAAUUCUGAACUGAACUGAAACCCUAAACCCUAAACCCUAAACCUAAACCUAAACCCUAGUUGUGAAUUCACAACUGAACUGAAACUGAAACUGAACUGAACUGAACCUGAACCUAAAACUAAACCCUAAACUCUAAAACCUAAACCCUAAACCCUAAACCCAAUCUAAACCCUAAACCUAAACCCUAGUUGUGAAUUGUUACGAUUGUGAAUUCACAACU
Molecule: long non-coding RNA, 962 nt
Filed under: Salvia miltiorrhiza (redroot sage)
Lineage: Eukaryota; Viridiplantae; Streptophyta; Magnoliopsida; Lamiales; Lamiaceae
Description: long non-coding RNA (SMIL_LNC008207)
Source: RNAcentral